UUUGACCAAAAAUCGAUAGAAUAUCUUCACAGCAAUACAUCAACCCAAUCAUCUCGACUUCAUAGCAUACAAUUUACAGACCAAACAUAAAAGGGAAUCCUUAGCACCAUGAUCAGACACAAGAAUAUGCUCACCGUGUUGUCUACUAAAGGAGGCCAGGCCAAAUAGGGAUGGACAGGGCAGCCAAUUCGCUUUCUGUUCUUAAAAUGCUGGUUCAGCUCCGCUGUUUCCAGAGAGAAGGACAUGAACCACUCAGGGGAUUUGUACUUAUCCCUGAAAUUCUUCCAGGGGCAAAUAGAAAGGUACACAAAGCCAUUGAAGACCGUCAUAAGCUGCACAGAGAAUUUAUCUUCCACUGAACAGCUGGUGACCUCCAUAAAUCUAGCGUGCAACGGGAACGUACUGUGCAGCACAAAUCUCUGGACGCCAUCAUCACCGGCUGUGCAGAUCGGAACCCGGGGCGGCGGCCCCGGCGGGAUUGGCGCCACCGGAUCCUCGGCGCAUGGUGGCGCAGGUGCGGGCCGGUGCCCCUCGGCCGUGUGGACGGCGAGGUACCCGGUGGAUGCGAGCCAGGGCGUGGCGGCGGCGCCUUCGGCUCCGCGGCUUCUGAUCUGGCCGCCUACCACCCUCUACGGCGGAUUCGCAAGUCCUCCCCCCAGAUCUGGCCGGCUCCGUCUUGGACGCCGGUUCUUCGCCGGGUGGGAGUGGGGACCGGAAGAUUGCCAGGAGAAAUCCCUAGCCGUCCUGCUGGCUGUGACGGCGGCGAUGCCCGCGGGCGCCGCGCACCUUCUUGGAGGCGCUGGUCAGGUAUACCUUCCCCACCCCCUCCCCCUUGUACUCCCGGGUGAAAACCCCAACGCUGUUGGGCGGCGGCGACGCCCUUGGCGCCGUAUCCUUCUUGAAGGCGCUGCUAUGGGAGCAAGGUGGGAAUUUGGUCUUCGCUGUGCUGUGUGUGGUGGGUGUUGGCGGCAGCAGUAAACGCCAGCGGUGGUAGUGUCCCCCUGGUUCAGGCCAUGUCCCUGGCUGCUGCUCCGUAGUUCAUCCUGGCAGCUCUCCUCUUGAACUGCCCGAGUCUUUGGUUUUCGGUGAUGCUCUGCUCUAGGUGAGAAGUCGACGACAGGUCGCGUCUGCCUAGUCCCAACAAUGUGGAUGCCAUCGGUGCCACUCAUCCAGGUUCUAGGGUGAACGUGUUCAUUGUCGACGGUUCGGCGCCUUUCGAGCCAGGCGAGGAGGCAGGGGCCUCUUUCGACGAUGGAUCUGGAUGGUGGUGUUUCCCGGCUGGUCCCAGGUGUUGUGGCUAUGGCUGCCUCUCUCGGUCAUCUACUCUUCCUCUCCUUCGCCGGCCUCCCCCUUCUCCUAGGCUUCGCGCGUGCAAGAGGCCUUGUCAUCUUCAAGCUUGGUGCUUCAUGUAGAUUUUUUUCAGUUUGUUGUAUGUCUGGCAUGUGAGCUGCUCCCGGCAUCAUUGUAUCUUGCCGUGUUUUCUUUUUCUGGUUUGUGUCGAGGUUGUGCUUCAGAGUUUGUAAUCCUGACCGGUUGAUGGCUUUGUUAAUUCAAAGCCGGGCUCUUCGCGAGCCUUCGUUCUAAAAAAAUGACGAUGCAGAGGUUCCGAUCCUUGGUCUGACCAAUCUUAAAUUUUGGGUAUACCACUCUCAAGGACGGCGGCAGAUCAAUUCGAGAGAACUGAAAGGUAUCCGUGUUGAGCACCAAAAUGUACUCGCUGAGAGAUACCUCAUUCAGGGACACGAAUUCCCAACAGAUAAACCCAUCCACCACCGUGCUGGCUGCGUGCAUGGAGCCCUCGGGCAGCGGCAUCGCAGUCUCCGGGAACAUCUGCCACUCCAUGGUGUCGGAUGAGAGGACAGCAACGCGUACCCAAGCCCACGAGUAGUCGUGACGGACACAGACCACACGGGACGGCCUCUGAUCCUCUUCGGGAGGGAGUGUGUGGAACUCAAGGGAGCUGCCGUAGGGCAUGUCGUGGUCCUCCUUGGGGCCGAGAAUCAGGGCAGUUGUUUGGGGAUUGUACAAAGCUUGCUGCUUGGUGGUCCGCUUUUCGAUGCAAAUGAAGCCGUCGUCGUAGGCAAUGUCGCGGAAAUCGAGUCCCCACUCGGAAUCGGAAGCGGCGGCGUGGUCUCGGAGGGGACUGAAUCCGGCGGAGGGGCGCCGUGAGGAGGGGAAGGCCGGUACCGUGUGCAUGCAGGGUGUGAGGAAGAGAGCGAUGAGCGGGGGUGCGUGGAGCUCGCGGAAGCGGCGGCGGAAGGCGCGCGACGAGCAGAUGGCGCCGAGGAAGGCGCGGCAGGUGAAGGCGGCAGAGGCGAGGCUGCGGAGGUCCGGGAGGCGGAGGAAGAUCUCUCGGAGCUGGUUGUCGCCGAGGGCGCUUAUCGUGGUUCGAGCGGGUGGUCUAGGGUAUUCCGGCGGCGGCGACGGGUGGGAAGCCAUGGCUGCUUGGCUGCCGAGCUCGAGCUGAAAUGGAGACCUUUUUUUGAGACAAUCACGCGAAGCUUUAUUUAUCCUGAUAAAUGUUUACAGGGACAAAAACGAGAUUACCAGGGUGUCCUAACCAAACAUGGCGGCCCACCCCUAACUUUAAAGCAUGCUUCGCUAGAUUGUGAGACUCGAAGUUCGAGCUCCUAUACUCAUGAACAAAAUUACACUCUACGAAACCAUUCGCAAGGUCAGUUAUUUCAUGUAGAAUUGCACCAUAACCAGCUGGGUUUUGCUCCUUCAUGUCCUCAAUCACCACUUUACAGUCUGAUGCAACGUGUAGAUUCUGCAAGUUCAGAUCUUUGGCCAGGGCUAGAGCCUCCCGAACAGCAAGCGCUUCUAGCGUCGGUGGGUCGUACACACCCCGCACAAGUAUGGCCGAAGCCCCAAGGAAAUUACCAGUGUGGUCUCUGCAUAUUGCCGCUGCAGUUCCUCUCUUCUGAUUCUUAGAAACAGCACCGUCUACAUUGAUCUUGCACAUUGUUCCUGGUGGGUGAAUCCACUGUGUUGUCCUUGGCCGUGCUCCUCCCUCCCUCGGCCGUACUAUGCUUCUAUCUUGCUGUAUUGACCGAAGAUCAUUCAUAUAGGCCUGGAUAAAAUGAUGAGUGGAUUGAGGGCUCUCAAAUAUAUCCUCAUAUAUCGCCUUUCGUCUAGAUUUCCAGACAGCCCAUAGAGUAACCACCAUGAUCACAAACUCCUCCUGCGAAAGUACUUCAUGCAUGGCGAAGAUCCAGUUCCUUGCAUUCAUGUCCGCAUUCUGGCUCAUAUGCUCCACCAGACAGGGAUCGGCUAAAGACCAUAUGCAUCUAGACAUAGUGCACUCCAACAGGGCAUGUUUCCAUGAAUUGUCACAACCACACAGGGCGCAGCGUGUGGUGGUAGACAUGUUGCGGCGGUGCAGAACGUCCAUCGACGGGAUCGAGUGUUGAGCUAGUCUCCACAAAAACACCUUAAGCUUCGAAGGCACCUUGAUAUGCCAUAGGCUUGUCCACUCGUUAUUCUGUGUGUUAAUAUCCGAAACUCCACCAGCUCCAUCCAACCAAUUCUCACGAUGAUGCUUUGUGUUCAUCACCAUCCUGUAUGCUGACCUCACCGUGAAUUUGCCACUCCUUUCGCCGGACCAUGCCCAAAAGUCCUCAAUAGAUUUUGUGCACAAGGGAAUCGCCAAAAUUGAGUCCAUGUCAAACGGUAAAAAAGUACCCCUGAUGAGACCCUCUCUCCAUGAAGCAGAUGUGGGAUCAAUCAACUUUGACACUAACCUCGGAGGAUUAGCUGAGAUGGAAGUAAUUGGUCUCAUGGGGCCAGUUCUUGGAAUCCAGUUGGUGUUCCAAAUAUCUGUUGAUCUCCCGUUUCCAACUCUUCGGAUUAAGCCCUGUUUCAAGACUUCUCUUCCAUCAAUCACCGCCCGCCAUAUUUGCGAAGGGUGGUUGCCCACCUCGGCUUCCAUGAAACUAUUCACUGGAUAGUAAGCAGCUUUAAGCAAUUUUGCACUAAGCGAUGUAGGAUCAUCCAUGAGUCUCCAUGCCUGUCGAGCUAGUAGAGCGAGAUUGAAAACCUCAAUAUCUCUAAAACCCAUGCCACCUAGGUAUUUUGGCUUUGUCAUUAUUUCGGUUUUUUCACUUUGUUUAUAAUUUCAGUAGGCUUUAUUUAAAUUGUUCAAAAGUUAAUGAAAAUAUGGAAAAUAUCACGAAAUAAAAAAAAAUCUAAACAUGAACACUGUUCAAAAAUUUAAAAAGUGCUCACAAAUUCAGAACAUGUUCGGAAAUUUUAAAAAAUGUUCAUGAAUUGAAAAAAAAUUGCGUACUUGAAAUUAUCCAAUUUGAUAAACUUUCAUGAAAUGAAAAAAAUUCCAGGAUUUAAAAAUGCUUGUGAGUUUAAUUCCUCAGAAUUUAAAAACUAUUCACGAAAUUAAAAAUUCCUUGUUAAUUUAAAAAAUGUUCACUAGUUUCAAAAAUGUUCUUGAAUUCAAAAAAUAGUCUAUAAUUUCUAAAAAUGUUUGUGAAUUUUAAAAGUAAAUCAAAAUAUGUUUGUGAGUUGAUUAAAAACGAAAAAAAGGUAAAAGAUAUAGAAAACAGAAGAAAAAAAGGGCGAGAAAGACCUUUUGGAAUCUUCCAAAAAUAAGGCAAAAAAUUCUAGAACCUUCCUAAGACCGGUCAAAAUCUCACCGCUGCCUCGCCGCCCAAAAAGCAGCGCUAGUGGGCGAUCUCUCCGACAUGUAUCGCUUGUGCUAGCCGCUUGCAAGGGGGGUUCGGAAUGAAAUUGGUGGUUUGAGAGCAUCUCCAACAUGCGCCCGAAAACUGCUUCGCGCGCUAAAAUUCAGGUUUUCUGGACGCCGGACAGCUCCAGCAGAGGCUGUAAAAUAGUGCGCACGCAAAAAAAGGGUUGGGAACACGCUACAAAUUUGGGGCGCCAGAUUGCGCGCGCUUCAUAAUUUGCACUGCGUGUUUUUUUUUUGCGCGCGUUUUUGGGGCAUCUGAUAAAUCAAUGUUGAGUCCGGCGCGCGAAAAGUGCUACAGUGACGCGCUAAAACUAUUUUAGUGCGCGAAACUUUUAUGCCGCCUAUUUGGGAUGCUCUUAUAACUCAAGGCCCGGGAGGAGGAGUUGGCCAUUGAAAGGUUUAGAAGAAAAAAGUCAGCCUGCAAAGCAGCAGCAUCUCGACAACGGGUGAUGAAAUCAAUAAACAAAGCCAAACACAAGAGACAGGCACGUCGUCUGAAGAAGAAGAAAGAGCUCUGAUAGUAGCGGUUAGUUUGUGUGCUAUCUUCGGUUGUAAACGUGGCAUGAAGUUGACCAUUUGUAACGUGGAUCACAACUAAGUCCUCAUGGUGGCAACAAAAGUUUUGCGCACUAAAAUAAUGAAAAAUGCACGGACACCCCAGUGUAGAUUUUUCUUACUUUAAGUUGUUGAUUUGAUCAGGAUAUGGGUAUAACUUAGUGUUCAUCGGUUCUAGUUCAAUAGAUAAAUAAUGAAAAAUGCACGGAUAUGAAAAUCUACCCAAUUUGUAUCGAUUGAAUCCCAACAUAUGAUUUGUUGGCCCCAAAACUUAACAACNNNNNNNNNNNNNNNNNNNNNNNNNNNNNNNNNNNNNNNNNNNNNNNNNNNNNNNNNNNNNNNNNNNNNNNNNNNNNNNNNNNNNNNNNNNNNNNNNNNNNNNNNNNNNNNNNNNNNNNNNNNNNNNNNNNNNNNNNNNNNNNNNNNNNNNNNNNNNNNNNNNNNNNNNNNNNNNNNNNNNNNNNNNNNNNNNNNNNNNNNNNNNNNNNNNNACAACCAUCGCUUGUCACUGCAUUAAUAGGUUAGUCCAAUAAAAUAUUAUAAGGUGCACCAUGCCUAACAUGUCGUGGAGGUCUGUCUUGGACAUGCUCUAGCAUAAGGAAAAUGUACAAACGCGUGUUGAAGAGCGAAUGACUGGACUCUUGUACCGCAAUUGGCAUUUUCUAAAGUGCCGAAACACCUAAACAAAAUCAUUACAUUUCAUCUAAUUAUCCUUACCAAAACAUAGGAAUAGAACCGGCCCCUUCUAAUUAAAUGGAAGCAUGACAUUUCAUUUCACUUAUUUUCCUAACUAAACACACCUUACUCACUAUAUGUAAUAAUACUUACAAAAGUAGUAUCAUACGUAAUAUGCAUCUUUUUAUACUAAUGUAUGGGCAGCUUUGCCUUAUAUCCAAAAGUAAAGCACGCAGCCAAAGCAUGCGUUCCUUUUGGCCACCGCCAAGAGAAUUAGAGCCUGUCGGGACUCCCUCCUGCUCUCCAACUCCGUUCCGGAGGGGAGCAACAUGCAGUGUUAAUUUGGGGAGCUGCUAAUAUGAUGCUCCACCCGCACCGCUCCCGAGUGGAGGAGUGGAGGGCUACCGAACACAACCUUAGUAAGAGGAUGAGGCAAAGAUAUAACAGCCCGCACGCUCCCGUUGGUCAGAGCAUCUACAUGUGAACUCCUCAAAUGCCUCUCAUAUGUUUGGAUGGACAACUUGGUCAUUGACCAGUCACAACUUCGGUGUGGUGGGGUUGCGCCUCAUUUGCGCAGCGUCAGUCUCCAAGUCUCCAAGGCGAAGACGAAGACGGGCCCGCGCUAGGCGGUGCCCGCAGCUCGCCAAGCUUCGGUGACUCCCCUUCUGACGGCAGCUCCUCCAGCGGCGGCCGUGAUCAGCCACCGUGUUGCUGCGCCCGCUUCGAGGGGGUGGCGGAUCAUCCCGCCGUCGCACCUCGGUGAAGCGUGAGCAGGGGUCCGUUUGAGCUCCGGAGGGUGAUGCGAAUCCUCUUCUGCAGGCUGUUGUUGGGCGAGCCGUGCUCAUUUGUUUUUUCUCCCUUUCAUGCAUAAAGAGAGAGAAGUGUGGAGCCCCGUGGGGGCAUGCUAGACUGUUUCCUUCAAUUAUCAUGUCGUUUCUAUUAUUCCCAUGCCGCAUUACGGUAUUGCAUGUUCAUGUGUUGGAAUAACUUAGCUCGGGGGGAUUUGUCGCGGCCUUCGCCUCGGGAGGCUCCGGCCAGAGGCCUUGUCGUGCGUCUUGAGGCUUGCAAAAAAUUAGCCGGAGGGACAGACUCCGUCCCUCAGCUGUGAGGGCGACCAGCUCAGGUCAUGCAUUCGUGUCGCGAUGCCCGUGGGGCAUGGACCGGGAAGAGUGCUCCCGCUAUGAACUUAGGUUGGGAAACCUCACGAAAUUAAGCCAAAAGAUACUCGCGAGGNNNNNNNNNNNNNNNNNNNNNNNNNNNNNNNNNNNNNNNNNNNNNNNNNNNNNNNNNNNNNNNNNNNNNNNNNNNNNNNNNNNNNNNNNNNNNNNNNNNNNNNNNNNNNNNNNNNNNNNNNNNNNNNNNNNNNNNNNNNNNNNNNNNNNNNNNNNNNNNNNNNNNNNNNNNNNNNNNNNNNNNNNNNNNNNNNNNNNNNNNNNNNNNNNNNNNNNNNNNNNNNNNNNNNNNNNNNNNNNNNNNNNNNNNNNNNNNNNNNNNNNNNNNNNNNNNNNNNNNNNNNNNNNNNNNNNNNNNNNNNNGUCAUGCGAACAGCAAAGACAGGAAACCACAGGCUGGGGACGGCAUACAACAUCAAAAGCAACUCCAACCAAAGCCCCAAACAAAGAUGAACUAGCCAACUGUAGAAAGCAAAUGAAAAGCCGCGUCCGGCACCUAAUCUAGUCUUCGACGUCUUCUCACCAGCGUGGAGCUAAGUGCUGCCACUGGGCGUGGGCGGGAGCCCCCGAGGCCCGGGGGCGGCACUCCGGAGACUCCGGGGCGUGUACAGCCCCAACUCAUUAUUACGUGAGAGUGUCACGGGCGGCGAGCUUCACAGGCCUUGGCCUUCUUCACAGGCACCGGGCCUUUCCUUGGGGGAGUCGAGCUUCAUAGGCAUUGGCCUUCUUCACAGGCAUCGGGCCUUUCCUCAGGGCGGCAAGCUUCACAGGCAUUGGCCUUCUUCACAGGCACCGGGCCUUUUCUCGCAGGCACUGGGCCUCGCUUCAAGGGUAGAAUCUUUGGAGGUGCUGAAUGAUCCACGCGUUCGGGAUGGGCACCCCCUCCUGGGUUUCCAAGCGCGUGGAGCCGGGCCUGGAAACAUGAACAACCUUGAACGGGCCCUCCCACAUGGGCGAGAGCUUGUGCAGCCCUUCCCUGGAGAGCACCCGCCUGAGCACGAGGUCCCCUACCUCGAGAGUCCUGGGUCGGAUGUUGCGGUAAUGGUACUGCCGCAGCGCCUGCUGGUAUCUUGCUGCUCGAAGCGCGGCCUCACGAUGGCGUUCCUCUCCCAGCACGAGAUUCGUCCCCCGUGUGGCGUCCUGCUGCGCUUCGUCAAACGCCAGGACCCGCACGGAGUGACGCUUGACCUCGUGAGGGAGGACCGCCUCUGCUCCAUAGACGAGGAAGAAUGGGGUCUCACUAGUUGACUUGGUAGCGGUCGUGUGGAUGGACCACAACACGGGUUGGAGCUCGUCGUACCAGCCCCUGCCGCAAGCCUCUAGCUUCUUCUUGAAGGUCCUGGUCUUGAGACCUUUCAUGACCUCUGCAUUGGCUCGUUCAGCCUGGCCGUUGCUCCGAGGGUGCGCCACCGAAGUGUAGCAUAUCUGCAUUCCAAGGUUAGCACAGUAUGUUUUGAAGAGAUUGCUGGUGAAUUGCGAAUCAUUGUCGGUGAUGAUGCGAUUAGGCACUCCGAAUCGACUCACGAGGCCCUUGAUGAACUUGACUGCAGAGCCGGCUGGGAUGGUGCAGACAGCUUCCACCUCAGCCCACUUGGUGAACUUGUCAACGGCAACGUAGAGGUAGCGAUAGCCCCCAAGCGCCCGGGGAAAUGGGACCAAGAUGUCCAGCCCCCAAACUGUGAAUGGCCACGAGAGGGGUAUGGUCUGCAAGCCCUAAGCCGGCUGCUGGAUCUGCUUGGCAUGGAAUUGGCAGGCUUCACAAGCUUUCACUAGCUCGAUGGCGUCAUUGAGUGUUGUAGGACAGUAGAACCCGCUCCGGAACGCCUUGCCAACGAGGGUUCGUGAUGACGAGUGAUGCCCGCAAUCUCCCCGUGUAUGUCUGCCAGCAAUUCUUUCCCUUGUUCCCUGGAAAUGCAACAUAGAGACACGUUGUCCGGCCGCUUCCGGUAGAGCUCUCCGUCUUGAAUGCAGUAGGUCGUAGCCUGCCAUGCCACGCGUUCUUCCUCCUCCUCCUUCUCUGGCAGAGUCCCUUGCAUUAGGUAACUCUUGAGUUCCACAGUCCAACAUCCCUCCUGAGGCUCUAGCGCCAGGAGCAAGCGUGCUCCUGAGUUCGGGCCAUAGGCCGGAGCUCCUAAGGCAGGUGGUUGAGGGAGCUCCUCCUGAGGUUGCGCUGUGCUUGAUGGUGGCGGUGUUGCUGAGGGUUUGAAGAGUCUUUCCUCAAAGAUGUCGGGCUCUUGAGGCAGUCGCCUGGACGCCCUCCUGGCGAUGUCAUCAGCCUCACUCCAACCCCCAAAACUGCCUUUCCAUUAUACGGACCUCUGCGAGAUAUGCUUCCAUAUGCUCGUCCUUCGGCUCAUACACCUUGUUGGAGAAGUUGACGAGUAGCUGCGAAUCACCUUUGACGACGAGGCGCUUUACCCACAAGGCCGCUGCGGCCUUCAAGCCUGCUAUCAAGCCCUCGUAUUCUGCGAUAUUGUUGGAAACCUUCUCUCCAUGCUGGAAAUGGAGCUGUAUGGCGUAAUAGAGCUUGUCUUGAGUGGGGGAUAUAAGCACCGCGCCAGCCCCCGCGCCAUGUCAUGAGAAUGCUCCGUCGAAGUACUUGACCCAACCAUCCGGCGCCUCACUUCCUGGGGAAAGCAACCGAUCUUCGCCGGCCUCGAGCCCCGACGCCUCUGUCCAUUCUGCCACAAAAUCUGCAAGUGCGGCCCCUUUGACGACCCUCGUUGUGCUGAAUUCCAACUGAAACGCUUGCAACUCGAUGUUCCAUUCUGUAACCCUUCCCGCUAAGUUGGGGCUUCUGAGUACUAUUUUCAACGGAUACGCUAAGAUGACCUUGAUGGGGUGGCCUUGGAAGUAGUGUUGCAGCUUCCGAGAGGCCACUAACAGCGCGAGCAAGAGCUUCUGGGGCAUGGGGUACCGAGCCCUUGCAUCCCGCAGCAUCGUGCUGACGAAAUACACGGGAUGCUCGACGAGGGUGGGCGCAGCGACGGAACUCGCACCCUCCGGGGAGUCGAAUGCCUCCCGAGGCUUAAGAGCCCCCGGCUCCUGACAUAUUAGUGAGGUCCCUUCAGCCACGGAGGCGCCUUCCUGUUGAGGCCGACGUGCAUCUGCCGAGGUCACGACCCUCGCGAGGCCUUCCUGGCCUUGAGCUACCGUGACUGGGGUCGCGGCUGACGCGGUCUUGGUCCGGCGCUCUUCCCGGACCGCCACCAGAGCCGCGCUGGCGGAAUAUGGUGUGGCGGCGAGAUAGAGCACCAAGGGCUCCUGAGGCGUGGUGCUACCAUCAUCGAAGGGCUGGUCAGGUAUUUCUUGAGAUCUUGGAACGCUUCGUCAGCCUCUUGAGUCCAUUCGAAUGGGCCCUUCCUCUUCAUCAGCUUGAAGGAGGGCAGAGCGCGUUCCCCCAGCUUGGAGAUAAAGCGCCCUAAUGUAGUUACUCGUCCGGCGAGCUUUUGCAUUUUCCUGAGGGUUUGCGGCGGACUCAUGUCUUCAAUUGCCUUGACCUUCUCUGAGUUAGCCUCGAUCCCUCUGUGGGAUACGAGGAAGCCCAGAAGCUUGCCAGAAGGAACACCGAACACGCACUUCUCUAGGUUGAGCCGCAGGUCCACUUCACGAAGGCUCGCAAAGGUUUCUUCCAGGUCCUGUAUCAGGGUCUUCGCCUCUCGAGACUUCACCACUAUGUCGUCGACAUAAGCCUCGGUGUUUCUCCCGAGCUGCCGGCCCAAGGCGAUAUGCAUCAGUCGCUGAAAGGUUGCGCCUGCGUUGCGCAAUCCGAACGGCAUGCAGGUGUAGCAGUAUGCCCCACACGGGGUCAGGAAAGCCGUUUUCUCCACAUCCUCUACCGCCAUCUUGAUUUGGUGAUAGCCCGAGAAGGCAUCCAGGAAGCACAGCAGGUCACACUCGGCGGUAGAGUUGACGAUUUGAUUGAUGCGGGGGAGCGGGAACGGAUCUUGAGGGAAAGCCUUGUUGAGGUUGGUGAAAUCAACGCACAUGCGCUCCUUUCCUCCCUUCUUCGGCACAACGACGGGGUUCGCCAGCCAUUCUGGAUAGUGAACCUCGCGAAUGACUCCCGCAACUUCUAGCUUGCGGGUUUCUUGGAUGAUGAAGGACUGCUUCUCGGUGGACUGCCGCCUUGCUUUCUGCUUCACGGGGCGUACAUUGGGGCAUACGUUCAGGUGGUGCUCAAUCACCUGCCUGGGGACCCCUGCCAGCUGCUUGGGUUCCCAUGCGAACACUUCCUUGUUCGCGCAUAGGAACUUCACUAGGGCCUCCUCUUGCUCGGGGUCGAGAUUGGCGCCUAUGGUGAAGGUGGCGCCGGAGGAUCCAUCCUCAUCGGCUGGUACUUGCUUGGUCUCCGCUUUGUCUUGGGUGAACAGCUGCCUCUUCUUGGUUGGCGCAGCCCCCUUGGCCUUGAGGGGGUCGAUGUUGGUGGGCUGCGCUACUGCGGCCGCCUUGAAAGCAAGCUUGAGCGCCUGCAUGGCAUCUUUUGCAUCUCCGGCUACGGUGAGGAUGCUGCUGCUCCCGGGCAUUUUCAUCAGGUUGUAGGCCGGGUGGGUUGCUGCCAUGAACUGGGCCAAGGCUGGGUAGCCGAGGAUGGUGUUGUACGGGAGGCCGAUGGGGCAACGUCGAAGUCGACCAGCUCCGUGCAGAAGUUGGCUUGGGUGCCAAAGGUUACCGGGAGGCAGAUCUGCCCUAGGGAGCCAGUGGAACUGCCCCCGACGCCCGAGAAGGGCUGGCUGCGUCAGAGUCGCUCCAGCGGCACGUGGAGGAGGCUGAAGGCCUCGACCGAUAGCAUAUUGAGGCUGGCCCCACCGUCGAUGAGGGUCUUGGUGAUGCCACCUGGCAGAUGGUAGGAGUGCACAGCAUCGGGAGCGCAUCCGAGCAAAUAGUGUUUGCAGGGUGAUUAUCCAAGCUGAAGGUCAAGUCAGCCUUGGGUGCCACCCGACCCGGAGGAGCUUCGUGGCACGUGAGGGCGGCGCCGGUCUGGCGGACGAAUGGCUUGACGUGGCGACUCGUGGGUGGGGCUUGUGAGCCACCUAGGAGAGUCGCGACGACUGGGAGUGCCUGCGCAGCAUGGUGGGCGAGGAAGAGGCUGCGCAGCUCCUCCCAGGAGGUCACUGAAGACGCUGGCAAGUGGAGCAGCCACAUGCGCGGGACGCCGACGAGGGCCAUGGGCAGCCAGUUGGCCAUGACCCGGUCGUCGCCCCCGGCCUUGAGGAUGGCCUCCUCAUAUGCCAGCAGGAAAGCUAGCGGAUCUGUCGCGCCGUCAUAGCGUGGCGGCAUCUCUGGCUUGAACUUGUUCGGCCACCGCACCUGUCGCAAGGUGGGGGCCAGAGCUCGGAGCCCCCGGGGUCCAGCGCCGGCUCCUGCGGCUGGAGCGGGCGGCACGUUGCCCGCCAUGAGGGCAAAGCGCGGUGUUGACGGAGAACGGGUCGACGACAGGGAGAGCUCUGGCGCACCCCUACCUGGCGCGCCAAAUGUCGGAUAUCGGGUUCCGGCAAAACCCUUAAGGUUCGAACUCUGGGGUGCGCGCGAAGAUCUCUCCCCUACCGAUCCACGUUCUAACGCCUCGCUGAGGACCUAAGCUACACGAUGAACAACACAAGGGACGCAAAGUUUAUACUGGUUCAGGCCACCAUUGUGGUGUAAUACCCUACUCCAGUGUGUGGUGGGUGGAUUGCCUCAGGAGGCUGAUGAUGAAUAGUAUAGAGGAAGAACAGCCUCGUGAGGGGUGUUCUUGUGGUGGUGUUCUGCUUGGGAAGGAUCUGAUCCCUUCCUACUAUGGUGGCUAGCCCUUUAUAUAGAGGCCUUGAUCCUCUUCCCAAAUAUUGAGCGGGAAGGGCGCCAACAACGGCCAUUUUGAAGGGGAACAUCUAGUACAACUUAUCCUGACUAAAGUUGGUCUUCGACCGCCAAAGGCGCUGGUGAUGAUGUCGUCUUGGGCUCCAUGGUGACCUCCGUCCUGCCGCUCUGCUAGUCUUGGUCUCGUUGCACUGAAAUGGUAACCUUUACUUGACGCCUCGGUACUCCGCGCCUGUGCUUGCUCCCUUUGCACCAAAGAGGAAACAAGGACACUGCAUAGGCAGGCGCCCGCCUGGCGCCCGCCUGGUCUUGAUCGUCAUGGCUUGCGUCAUGGGCACCUCGUGAGGUACCCUUGCCUUGAUCUCUCCGCCUCCUCGCGAGCUAGCCUGGCGAGUCCGCCCCUGAGGAAGCCUUCCGUCGUCCGCCCCGCGAGGCUUGGACCCUCACGAGGAUCUUGAGCUUGAGCAGACGAAGGUGGGCUGCAUUGGGCCACCACUUGAGCCACGCCGCAGGCCGCAGGCAGGCAAGUCUGGGGACCCCCAUUUCCAGAACGCCGACAGUAGGGAGACACUCCAAGAUAAGAGAAAAGUAGGAGUGGGAGGUUCAAUUCCGUUGACCCGGCAUUCCAAGUCAAUUCUAACACCUUGCGAUAUGGUAUAUGAUGUGUGUGGCGCAAACCUGCGGUAAAGCUACAUUUACACCGCUGGGCCUGACUCCUGAGCCAGCUGAGCACUUUAAACAGGGAAAGCCAAGCUGGGGAAGCUACCAAUUUGUGCUCUCCUGUCGAGGGAAGGCAAAAUUUCAUGUGUUUGACCCUUUUCUGGUCUAAAAUCGGGAUUUGACCCACGUUCGAAAAAAAUUGAGAUAUGACCCUUUUGCCUACCGCCAGGAACAUCGACAGUAGGUCCCCACAGCCUACCGCCAUAACAUGUGGUGGUAGUGAAGGAAAUAUGCCCUAGAGGCAAUAAUAAAGUUAUUAUUUAUUUCCUUAUUUCAUGAUAAAUGUUCAUUAUUCAUGCUAGAAUUGUAUUAACCGGAAACUUAGUACAUGUGUGAAUACAUAGACAAACAGAGUGUCACUAGUAUGCCUCUACUUGACUAGCUCGUUGAAUCAAAGAUGGUUAAGUUUCCUAACCAUAGACAUGAGUUGUCAUUUGAUUAACGGGAUCACAUCAUUAGGAGAAUUAUGUGAUUGACUUGACCCAUUCCGUUAGCUCGGCACUUGAUCGUUUAGUAUGUUGCUAUUGCUAUCUUAGUGACUUAUACAUGUUCCUAUGACUAUGAGAUUAUGCAACUCCCAUUUACCGAAGGAACACUUUGUGUGCUACCAAACGUCACAACGUAACUGGGUGAUUAUAAAGGUGUCUCCGAAGGUACUUGUUGAGUUGGCGCAUUUCAAGAUUAGGAUUUGUCACUUUGAUUGUCGGAGAGGUAUCUCUGGGCCCUCUCGGUGCACAUCACUAUAAGCCUUGCAAGCAAUGCGAUUAAUGAGUUAGUUGCGGGAUGAUGCAUUACAUAACGAGUAAAGAGACUUGCCGGUAAUGAGAUUGAACUAGGUAUUGAGAUACCGACGAUCGAAUCUCGGGCAAGUAACAUACCAUUGACAAAGGGAACAACGUAUGUUGUUAUGCGGUUUGACCGAUAAAGAUCUUUGUAGAAUGUGUAGGUGCCAAUAUGAGCAUCCAGGUUCCGAUAUUGGUUAUUGAUCGGAAAUGAGUCUCGGUCAUGUCUACAUAGUUCUCGAACCCAUAGGGUCCGCACGCUUAAAGUUUGGUGAUGAUCGGUAUUAUGAGUUUAUGUGUUUUGAUGUACCCAAGAUAGUUCGGAGUCCCGGAUAUGAUCACGGACAUGACGAGGAGUCUCAAAAUGGUCGAGACAUAAAGAUCGAAAUAUUGGAUGACUAUGUUUGGACUUUGGAAGUGUUCCGGGUGAGUUCGGGCAUAUACCGGAGUACCGGGGGGUUAUCGGAACCCCCCGGGGAGUAUAUUGGGCCUAAUGGGCCUUAGUGGGAGAAGAGGAGGGGCGGCCAGGGCAGCCACGCCCCCCUUCCCCUCUAGUCCGUAUUGGACAAGGAGGGGGCAGCGCCCCCCCCCUUUUCCUUCUCCUCCUCUCUCCCUUCCUUCCCUUCUCCUACUCCUACAAGGAAAGGAGGAGUCCUACUCCCAGUGGGAGUAGGACUCCCCCCUUGGCGCGCCCUCCUCCUGGUCGGCCGCCUCCCCCCUUGCUCCUUUACAUACGGGGGUAGGGGGCACCUCUAGACACACAAGUUAAUCUAUUGAUCUAUUCCAGCCAUGUGCGGUGCCCCCCUCCACCAUAUUACACCCCGGUCAUAUCGUAGCGGUGCUUAGGCGAAGCCCUGCGUCAGUAGAAACAUCAUCACCGUCACCACGCCGUCGUGCUGACGAAACUCUCCCGUCAAACUCUGCUGGAUCGGAGUUCGCGGGACGUCAUCAAGCUGAACGUGUGCUGAACUCGGAGGUGUCAUACGUUCGGUACUUGGAUCGGUCGGAUCGUGAAGACGUACGACUACAUCAACCGCGUUGUGCUAACGCUUCCGCUUUCGGUCUACAAGGGUACGUGGACUCACUCUCCCCGCUCGUUGUUAUGCAUCACAUAGAUCUUGCGUGUGCAUAAGAAAUUUUAGAAAUUACCACAUUCCCCAACAGGUAGGUGUCGAGACAGCGUCAGAUGGACGUCAGCUUGGCUGACGUGGAAAAAGGACCCUACCGCCAGACCACCCGGCGGUAGGAUUCGAAAACCUACCACCGGGGCCCCUGGCGGUAGGGUCGUGGGGUGGAUAAGGUUGGUGAGGGGCUGUGUGUGGGCCCCACCAUCACUCUUCUUCCCCACUCUUCUUCUUCCCCGUGGUGAGCUCCUCCCCUCUCUCUUUCCCCCACCCAAACACCCCCUAGAUCCACUCCAUUUGCUUGAGGUUUCACCGGUGGAUCCGAAGCAUUUUCAUCCCCCAAGGUACCUCUCCCACUUCCCCUCAUUUUGAUUGGUUGAAAUCCUGGUUUUGUCUGCUUUAGCUCAUUUUAUUGCAAACCAUAGGUGUUGAUUUUGGUGUGCAUUUAUGAUGCAUUUAUGGCACAUUUAUGAUGCAUUUAUGGCUAUCUUUGUGCUUGUGCUUGCCUAGGGCUAGGGGUUAUAGUGGUAAUGUGAGGGGAUAGUGUUAGAGUUAGGAUGAGUGUUAGUGUUAGGGUUAGGGUUAGGAUUAUAGUUAUGGUUAGGGUUAUGGUUUAAGGUUAAGGUGAAAUUACUAUGAAUAGAAAUUAUUUGUCCAAUGUGUGCAUAAAUUAUGUUAUUGGUCCAUUUGAAUUGGUUGGAUGACAUAUAUGGAUGACUUUAUUGUUUCCAAUUUUGUUAGAUGCAUAAGCUCGUAAAUCUUCAUUAUUUGGACAAGACGACAUUUAUGCUUAGAAAUGACGAUGAAGGCGAAGAGGCUAUGGUUUUUGACACAAGUCCAAAUUUGAUGGUCUUGUAGUUAAAGUGAGAAGCGUCUUACAUUGGAAUGACCCAAAUGUCGAGGUUAAGCUUAUUGGGAGGUAUGACAUUGGAUUGGGAGUAAAGUCCCGAUCAACGAGUAUGCCCAUCACCUUCCAAUUGUAUUGGAAUGUGUACAAGGACAAAGUUGACGCAUCACAAGACAAGUCUCUUGAGAUAUUUGCCACAAAGGUUGAUCCUCCUCCUCCCUUGCAAAUUGAUUUAAACUGCAUUGUAUCCUUCCCAAUACAUGAUGAUAGUGCCGAGGUGUAUAUCCCCAAUUGUUCUAGAAAACCACCAAGUAGCCAACCCAAUGAAGAUCAUAUCAAUGCUAGCGCCAUAGUACUCCGAGUUGAUGCUAUUCCUCUUGUUCAAGAAGAUGCUAGUGGUCAUGUUGAUGAUGAUGCUAUUGUUGCUCAAGAGGAUGCUUACGCGGAGAAUGAAGAGAUUAAUUACAAUCCCAUUGGUAACUUGGAUGUCAUUGUGCGGCAAUAAGACAUGGACCAUACCCUCCCUUAUAACCGUAUGUGUGGGUAUGACUCGGAUGACGAGGGUCCGGAGGAAGAAUUGGAUGAGGAUGGGUUGACGGCACAAGAAAAUCAAAUCUACAAGAAGGUGACCGGCAAGGAAAGAGGGCCGCCAUUGUUUAGGGAUGUGAGUCUUGCGGACAAGGCCAUUGUUGACGGUGGGCUAAGAUUGGGGUUGUUUGAGCCAACACCGUGCCCCAAAUUCAGUGAUGCUCGGCCAGAAAAUGAGGAUGAGAAUGCUCAUUUGAAGAAAGGCAUCAAGUUUGGUUCUUUGGUAGAGUUCAAGAUAUGGUUGUGUGACUACUCCAUUAGGAACCAUAGGCCGUUUGUUGUUGGUCAUUCAAAUCAAAAAGUUCGGUACACAGUCAUAUGUGACCAAGAAGGUUACCCUUGGAAGGUCCGCGGUAGAAAAAUCAAAGAAACCGGGCAAUGGGUGUUGAAGAGUUGUGUUGCCACUCACACGUGCGUACCCCCAGACAAGGCCGACCGAAGUAAAGGACACCAUCAACUCACGUCUGAGUAUCUAGGCUACAAAUUAUUGAAUCAAAUAGCACAUGAUCCAACCGUGAAGAUCAAGUUUCUCAUGACUUCGAUUGAGGAACUAUUCGGAUACCCGGUCAAGUAUGGAAACGCAUGGAUGGCCAAGGCAAACGCUAUUAGGAUGUUGCAUGGUGAUUAUGAGGCCGCAUAUAACAUUCUGCCGAAGAUGUUGGCAGCCAUUACUCAUCGUAACCCUGGCAUGCGCCAUCUGGUCGAAUCAAUUGACGGAGUGUUUCAUUGUGCCUUCUGGAGCUUUGGACAAUUCAUCAAGGCAUUCACGUAUUGUCGGUCGGUCUUGUCUAUAGAUGGCACAUUCUUGACCGGCAAAUACAAGGGCACAUUGAUGGUGGCAAUGGCCCACUCGUCAAAUGAUAAUGUGUUGCCGGUGGCAUUUGAGUUGGUGCCUUCGGAGCACGAUGACAAUUGGGAGUGGUUCAUGGGGCAUGUGAGGACAAAGGUGAUUGGUAAGAGAGAGGUAAGCAUUAUAUCGGAUCGCCAUCAUGGGAUUCUCAAAGCAAUAGACGUCAAUAUUCCAGGUCUUCCAAAGCUUCAACACCGUUGAUGCAUGAGACACUUUGUGGUAAACUUUUACCGGGCAUGCAAGAGCAAGGAGUUUUGCAAAGACCUUACCCAUGUUUGCGUUGCAUUCAACACUGACACAUUCCAAAGAAGAUAUGAUAAACUCUUGGAGGAGUUGGAGAAGAACAAAGGGGGAAAAGAAUUCUUGACUAGGCACGAGCCGGAUAAAAAAAGUGGUCACGCGCCUACGAUGAAGGAGGUAUGCGAUAUGGGGACAUGGCGCAAGAGGAGGAUGAGGCACGUGACAAGAAGGGGAAAUGUCCUCGUAUGACUCGUAGGCCUUUGCUUCGGUGGACUCAUCAUGUAACGGGAUGAAGCCAUGCCAUAUUUAUCAUGCACUAUGUACUACUAAGGCAACAAGCCAUGCCACAUGUGUAAUGAGUUUGUCGUCAGAACUAUCUCGUUUGAUCCAACUUUGUCUGGAAUUUCUUUGUUAUUUGUCAGUCAUUUCUGUCAUAAAAUGUUUGUGCACCAUGUGAAAUCAGCAAAGAACACAAAAAACAGAGUGGUUUUGCUCUGUUUUACAGCCUACCGCCAGAUCCCUUGGCGGUAGGAUGUACGACCCUACCGCCAGGAUGUCUGGUGGUAGGGUGCCGACACACACAAAAGCUUGCUAUGGCCGAGUUUGCGAUUUUUUGGCAGUAGGGUUGGCUACCCUACCGCCAGAUGGUCUGGCAGGAGGGUGUCAACACACACAAAAGCUUGUUGUGACCGAAUUUGUGAAUUUUCUGGCGAUAGGGUUGGCUACCCUACCGCCAGCGGGUCUGGCGGUAGGGUGCUGACCCCCCCCCCCCCCAAAAAAAACCGUCUGUGACCGAGUUUGCAGUUGUUUUGGUGGUAGGGUUGGCUAUCCUACCGCCAGUGGUUCUGGCGGUAGGGUGUCGAACCGUGUUGUGACCGAGUUUGUGUUUCUUUUGGUGGUAGGGUUGGCCACCGUACCGCCAGGGGGUAUGCCGGUAGGGUGCCAACCAAUCAAAAUAGACUUGUUUUACCCCUUUUUUACAAACUUCUAUGAACUAAAGAAAUCCAGAUAUGAUCAAAGCACAUAAGACAUACAAAAAUGAUCAAGUAGCAAGGACAUGCAUAACUCAGCAUAGUUCAUUACAUCCACAAAUGACACUGGUUCAAAUGACGUAAAGCAUCUAUCGAUUCGAACGACAUGAGUUCAAACUACAAGCUCAAGCUCAAGCAAUGCAUUUUCUACACCGAAAAAAUUUCUCUAAAAUGUAUAAGAUAUUCAAUUGUUCGGCACGCUCAGGAUUAGGCUUUAGUUGAUAAUUCGAGAAUCCCUCCCAAUUCUCCAACACACCUUUCGUUUCGUGGAACCAGCCCCAUCGAGCACAGUGUUCCGGAAUCUCUGACAUGCCUUGUGUGAUUGCUCACCCAAUGACCUGUCCGGGUUUUGUCAAGUUCAGCUCCCGUAUGUCUUCUUUGCUGACAGAGAACCCAAUCUCCAUUGCCAAAGCGUGUCUGCAAGCAUAUUCCAUCUCAUGCAGCUCAUUAAGUAUCUUCUUUUCUUUCUUUCACAAGCAUCCGAAAAACUUUUCUCUCCUUAAGAUCAGAAGGUUCCUCCAUAAAAGGAUACUUAUUGAAAUCCAUCAUGGCCGCACUUGCCUCAUCACAACUCCUGAACCAUGCUUCAAGCUCCCUCUUCAUACCACGAUGUCGCUCCGCUACAACCUUCUCACACGCUACCGCUAAACUCAUAGCUGCAAUGUCCAUCCUACAUGAAUAUACGGGUAUAAGAUGACAAUCAACAAAAUAAAUCAAAUGGAACACAACACUUGGUAUCUAUAAAGGUGAUCUUGAUCUUAAUUAUUUUCUUAAGCCUAACCAUAACCCUAACCCCAAAGAUGACCACUAAUCAUAGCACUAGAUCUAGAUACAGAAACAAUUCUACAAACAAUUCUAGGCACAUAAUACAUAAAGAAAUAACAAACAUAACCCUAAAUGCAUCAUACUAAUUAAUUUGACCACACCAAAAUCAACACCUAGGGUUUGCAAUAAAUUGAGCUAAAGCACACAAAACUAAGAUUUAAACCAAUCAAAAUGAGGGGAAGUGAGAGAGGUACCUUGGGUGAUGAAAGUGCUACGAAUCCACCGAACAAAUGUGAACCAAAUGAGAAAGAUUUGAGAGGAUCUUGUGGUCCAAGAGGGGAGGGAGCUUGAGCUUGGGGGAGAGGUGAGGUGUGAGGUGUGGGGGCUGAAUGAGUGAGUGUGUGUGGGGGNNNNNNNNNNNNNNNNNNNNNNNNNNNNNNNNNNNNNNNNNNNNNNNNNNNNNNNNNNNNNNNNNNNNNNNNNNNNNNNNNNNNNNNNNNNNNNNNNNNNNNNNNNNNNNNNNNNNNNNNNNNNNNNNNNNNNNNNNNNNNNNNNNNNNNNNNNNNNNNNNNNNNNNNNNNNNNNNNNNNNNNNNNNNNNNNNNNNNNNNNNNNNNNNNNNNNNNNNNNNNNNCCCCCCCUUACCAACCUUAUCCACCCCAGGACCCUACCGCUAGGGGACCCGGCGGUAGGUUUUCGAAUCCUACCGCCGGGUGGUCUGGCGGUAGGUUCCUUUUUUCACGUCAGCCAAGCUGACGGCCGUCUGACGCCGUCUCGACACCUACCACCACAGGUUACGGCGGUAGGCUGUGGCCUGUGGGGACCUACAGCCGAUGCCCCUGGCGGUAGGCAAAAAGGUCGGAUCUCAAAAAAAAUCGAACGUGGGUCAAAUCCCAAAUUUAGACCACAAAAGGGUCAGAACAUGAAAUUUUGCCCCGAGGGGAAGAGGUACCAGGUACGCUACUCUUUAUUUUUAUUCUUCUUUUUUGAACAGGCAUUACAUGAUUGCUUCUUGCUGUGAGAUUUUUACGUAAUCUUGUUUUUGCACAGCUAAUAGAGCCUUCCGUAACUGUAGUUGUGAUUGUGUGAACGCGUGAUGAUGCCCGGAUCGCUAUCGAAUUCGUAGUAUUAACAGUAGUUAAGUUUUGCAGUUGUUUAUCAUGGACCCCCCAUGUAACUAGGUCUGCCCGUGAACAUGAUCAAUAAGCUGCCAUGUCUGCGCUCCACAUAUUUUGCAGGCAACACUACUGACGCGGGUCAUGCCUGACGGAGCACUCCCUGGAGAACUCGACAUGGCUAUUCUACUGGCGUUUCUGCUCCUGAUGUCUUAUGGAACUGUCAACAUCCAUGGCUCAACAACGGUUAACCACGGGGACAACACAGACAUGCUCCCCUUGCUCGACUUCAAAGCGGCUACCAACGACCCAACAGGCGUCCUGAGAUCAUGGAACAGAAGCGUCCGCCACUGCGACUGGACGGGUGUCAUUUGCAGCUCACUGAAUUCAGGGCGCGUCGUUGCCCUGAGAAUCCCCGGCCAAGGCUUGUCAGGCGAGAUCACCCCCUCGCUUGGAAACUUGACGUUCCUUGAGAUCAUCAGCUUGCGCUACAAUGGCUUCUCCGGCCAGUUACCUCCCCUGAAUCAGCUCCACGACCUUCGCGUCCUUGACCUGAAAUCCAAUUCAUUCCAGGGGAUAAUCCCUGACUCAAUCAUGAAUUGUUCAAACCUAGGUAUUCUAGAUCUUUCUAGAAACAUGCUAGAAGGUCCAAUCCCAAAAAAAUUGGUUCGCUCCACAAUUUACUAAGUAUAGAUCUUUCCAGGAAUAAUCUCAUAGGAGGCAUCCCAUCAAGCAUCAGCAACGCCACCAAGCUUCGACAGCUCGAUCUUCGAGAAAAUGAACUAUAGGGGGGAACAUUGCUGAAUCCUGAUGUGUUUGGGCAACUUUCACAACUCCCAAGGCUGGACCUUAGCCAUAAUAAUCUCCAAGGUAUCAUACCUCCAUAGAUUAGUGAGCUUAAACACCUGAAUGAAUUAACAUCAGGGCCUAGUAACCAAUCCCAAAACGAAUGGCUUACAUGAGAGAGGUAGCUACCCAAAUGCAUAGAAUCAGCACGGUGAACACAGGAUGGGAAGUUAGGGGCUCAACUUCUUCCAGGAGACUUGUAGGUUGGGCUUCUCGAAGGAACCAAAGAAGAAAAGAGAUGUAAUUAGAGUCUUUGACAAAAUGCUCCAUCUUUAAUAAGGCUUUGAUCAUUGUACCCCUUCUAAGAAUGUAAUGUAAUACAGUGCAAUACCUUUCUGGUUACAAUGAUUGUCUUUUGUUAUGUUAUGUGCAAUGCAACCCCGUCAUUCAUCGGUGUGGCGAUCAUGGCCUGGAUGUGAUAAUCGCGUGCUGCUAGGGACAUCGGUUGAGGGGUUGUGCGUCAUUCAUCGGUGCUGCAAGCGAUGUGCAUACACCGAGCCAGUCCCGCACCCCACGAGAGGCAGACCACAUCCGGUGUGACCUCUCGCAACAUGGGCAAUGAAAGUCAUGCACUGUUUUGUAAAUAUUGACAUAGUUUUAGAAUUAUAUAAAGACAUCAUGCGCUCCCCAGGGCAGAAACUCCACUCUCGGGAGGGGGGCAACCAACAACAAGAGAGUAACGUUUUUCAAGCUAUAUUAGGGUGCAGAGAUGGAUUUUCGGCAGAGGAGUGGGGCGUUUCGGUGCCCAGGCUCAUCUACACCCAGUUAGAAAAAAAAUUCUAAAGAUUCUAAACAAAUUUAAAAAAUUCCAAAAAAAUUGUGUGUGGUAGACAAUUUGAUGUGUGUGGUCCGCUCCAAAUUUCAAGUUAUUUGGACAUUUGAGUAGCUCUCGGCAAAAAAGAUAAAUCGGACCAAAACAGUACAUGAACAGUAAACACCCCAAUUUGUCAUUUUUCUGAGAGUUCCUCAGAUGUCCAAAUGAUUUGAAAAUUCAAGCGGACCUCGCGCAUCAAAUUGUCUACCUCACAAAAAAAUUGAAAUUUUUUAAAUUUUUUUAGUAUUUGUUUUGAUUUUUUGCGUCAGCGCGGGUGCAAAUGAGCUCGGGUGCAGAGAUGGAUUUUCGACAGAGCGAGUACUAUAUAAAAACUAAGCAUUUGUUGCUCAACCAAUGGUUCAGGUUUGCCGUUGUGCUGAAGCAUGAUGUGUGUGGUGCAUCCUGUGAACACAUGUAUUGUCUUCAAUUUUUAUUUAGUUGUUCCAGUUUACUUUUCCAGACGUUUCUGUGUACAAUGAUUUAGAAUAAACUGAAACAACCUUCUUCCUAAAUCCUAAUUAAAAAGAUUAGGCAACACACGGGGUGUGCUAAAGGUUCAGGUCAUGGCAUGUCAGCCAUGUCUAUUUUCGGUAUAUAUAAUGAAAAUACUCUCUCUGUUCUCAAAUAUUUGUCUUUCUAGGCAUUUUAAAUGGACACAACAUACAGAUGUAUAUAGACAUAUUUUAGAGUGUAGAUUCAAUCAUUUUGCUCCGUACGUAGUCACUUGUUGAAAUCUCUAGAAAGACAAAUAUUUGGAAACGGAGGGAGUAGAAUAUACGUCAACGUGACACUGGUCGUGCCAAUAGAAGAUGCCUUUGGUGCCUGUACAAGACUCCAUGGAAACAGGAGAGCACUUGCUAUCAGCAUAGUGCCUCCCGAUGUCUCCUUUCUUUAAAAAAAAAAAUUUGCUAUCAGCAUAGAACUGUCUGCUGCUCCCAAUGUUAACUGCAUACGUGCCAUAACCAUUUGUUCACAAAAUUCAGUGUCGUCUGCGCUCCCUCAGAUACUAGUUUCAAUGACGUGCAUUUCCUUACAAUAAACUUGUGAGCUAGCAUACAAUGUAAAACAUAAGUGGGCAAACGCAGGAAAUAAUAAUCUGUAUCUAAAAGUCGUAAUACAAAAUGACGUGCAUUUGGUGCACACUCUAGAGUAACAAAUCUCUGUGAAAAGAAAACAGUUCUCCCUGCAACCUGAAUAAACCUGACCAUUUAAUAUUUUGGUCAUUUCAAAUAAAAAUAGCAGCGUAGUUAUGAUUUCACACUACAAGCAUCUUGGCGAAAGGAAAAAAGCGAAAAGGCUACUCCCUCUGUUCCAUAAUAAAAAACGUUCUUACAUUAUGGGACGGAGGGCCAUUUUAGUUAUUAUAUGCAGCAGAGAACGGUCACGCCUUUACUUAUAUUACCUUCAAACUCUCUCGCACAUAUAUACACUUCUAAAAAAAAAGGAAAUAUUUAAUACCAAGCUGAGAAAAGGUUGCACAUCAUUGAUUAGAAAAAGAGAAGAAACAACAGUUUGAGACUCAUACGUUUGUAGGUACGGGUCAUCUCUAAAACGACUCAUCAGUAGAAGAAACUGAAGACUUGGUCUCUUGUCAACCAGUCAUACUGAAUACUGAUUAUGUUUACAAUCAUCAUUGUUUCAGCUAACAUACAUUAAACUUAGCACAUACCGUCAUCACAGAAUCUAAAAACUAAAGUACCAACGCAUUUCAACAAAAGCUCACUUACCUGUGUGGUUGCUAGCCUGAGCUCUAUGCCUGACAAACAGUAUCGCCUGAAUGUAGCCUGAUAUUCAUACGAAUUUUGCCAGAGAAAACAUGAAGUUUUAAGACCUAUUUUUUAGAUGGCAUCGACAGCCAUCCUUGACUAGACUCCUUGCUAACUCCAGCUGCCUCAACCAGGAUAACAACACGGCAUGCUAGCUCGAGCCAAGCACUCAGGACACCAACCAAAGCGCGCACAGGUACUUAUCAGGCCAGGCAAGUUACAUCAAGCCUCCAACAAAACAGGCCUUGACUCCUGAUAGACUUAUUCAGCUAGCGAAGAAGGCUCUCCAUAACUUCCCCUUGCACAUUUGCCACCAGCUCUCUGUUUUUGUCUUCUGUCUGUAGAAUUCAGAAUCUGCACCUGCUCCCAAGACAUGAUCUCUCACGGUUAUCAAUAAUUCAUCUAAAGCAAUGAUUUUCCUCACAAGAGAGUUCUUCUCAUCCUUGACAUCAAUGCAAAGUAAGAAGGCCUCAAUCUCAGCAACAUUUGCGUCAUCAUCCUUAAUCAAAGCUUCUUUGAAUGAUCGUAAUGUUUUUAUAAGAAAAGAUGAACCCUUCUCUGUGCUCUCAGGACCAGCACUUCCAAUACUGUUUCCAGUAACUUCAUAUUCCGAAUCCACCUGUAACAAAAAGGAAAUUCAGUGUAAAAAGGAAUACAAGUAUUUGUGUAGACAAAUACAGUAUGUGCAAGGCAAUAGAUUCUAGUGAUACAGAUCAUUUUAUCUAGCUUUUACAGAAGCGAUGAAAGUGAAAUAAGAUACUGAUACACCACUGCCAUCUAGAACUUUUUAAAUCUACUAUCAUUAUAAUACGAAAGCAAUUGAAAGAUAACAGUUAAGAUUUGAUGGAUGAAGAACGGUUAAAAUUUAAUUAGAUUUGAGUGUCUUAACUAUAGGAAUCAGAGUGAGAAACCAGUAUCUGGAAUAGAAAAGAAAUGUUAAGAUUUUACAGAGUUAACGUUGGUUGAUAUUUAAUUGGCUUUAACAGCCCUAAUUAGAAACCAAAUAAAUAUCUAUAGGAUACAAACUCCUCUAUCCAAUUGGAAUCUAUCUAACUAUUAUUUUUAUUUUAUAAAACACUUAAGAUUUAAGAAAAAAUUAACGGUUAAGAUUUGAUGAUUAAAAACACACCAUACUUGGGUUCAAGAGAAAAAGAAACAGAGUUGAAUAUGUUUUCUGUUUUGGAAACAGAUAGGAAGAUGUUGACUAUUCUUGGACAGUCUUUUUCUAAAGAAUGUGGCCUAUUCAAACUCUAGAUUGAUUACUACUACUCCCUCCGUCCCAAAAUAAGUGUCUCAACUUUGUACUAGCUCUAGUACAAAUUUAUACUAAGCUCAAGACACUUAUUUUGGGACGGAGAGAGUAUAAGAGAUAAAUAUGCACCUAGAAAACAAAUAUAUGUACCGUCCCUCCGAAAACAUGGAAGAGGCUAGAGAGUGCCACGGGGAUAAUCAUGUGUACUACUAUCUAACAGUUGAAUGCAAAGCUUGAAUCAUGUUGCGUACGAAUAUGUUGGCAGACGCUCAGUUCUAACUGGCAUGAAAUUAUGGAACACAUAUUCAUUAAAUAACAUGUAAAUAUAAAACUGAUGUAGAAGAUAAGAAAAAUGUAAAGGGAAAAAGAAAACGUAACUUGCCAUUGAGCAUAUAAUGUAUCCAUAUCCGAAUACUUAAACAAUACUGACAAAUCCAGCUAUUCAUACACUACUUAGUAGUUAUAGAUUAUGUAUGUGGAACUUUAUACUAAUGCUAUCUUUUAAUCUGCAGAAACCCUCUAAAUAUUUACAAUAAAAAUAGGGCAGCGCGGUGCACGUAGCUCCUGCUUGCACAGGGUCCAGGGAAGGGUCCGAUCACUUUGGGUCUUUUGUAUGCAGCCUUUCCUUGCAUUUCUAAAAGAGGCUGCUUCCAGGACUUGAACACUAUUGACAAAUCUAGCUUUUCAUAUACUAGUUAGUAGUUAUAUAUUAUGCAUGUGGAGCUUUAUAAUAAUGCUAUCAUAUAAUCUAAACCCUCCAAAUAUUUAAACACCACUGACAAAUCUAGCUAUUCAUAUACUCCCUCCAAUCCAAAAUAAUUGUCGCAGUUUGCAACACUUAUUAUGGAUUGGAGGUAGUACUAGUUAUAGAUUAUGAUGUGGAGAUUUGUAUCAAAACGCUAUCAUAUAACCUGCAGAAACCCUUGACAAUUUGCAUCCUUGCAGCAAUGUACAAGUAGUUGAGGUCGUCUACUAUUUUUUGGAAGGAAUAGGAGCAUCACUAUCAGCUCCUCUACUAUGAGUUAUGCAAAUAAGACAUGUAACUUUGACCAAAAAUCGAUAGAAUAUCUUCACAGCAAUACAUCAACCCAAUCAUCUCGACUUCAUAGCAUACAAUUUACAGACCAAACAUAAAAGGGAAUCCUUAGCACCAUGAUCAGACACAAGAAUAUGCUCACCGUGUUGUCUUGUCUACUAAAGGAGGCCAGGCCAAAUAGGGAUGGACAGGGCAGCCAAUUCGCUUUCUGUUCUUAAAAUGCUGGUUCAGCUCCGCUGUUUCCAGAGAGAAGGACAUGAACCACUCAGGGGAUUUGUACUUAUCCCUGAAAUUCUUCCAGGGGCAAAUAGAAAGGUACACAAAGCCAUUGAAGACCGUCAUAAGCUGCACAGAGAAUUUAUCUUCCACUGAACAGCUGGUGACCUCCAUAAAUCUAGCGUGCAACGGGAACGUACUGUGCAGCACAAAUCUCUGGACGCCAUCAUCACCGGCUGUGCAGAUCCAAAGAAAAAGCAUGCAAUCCUUCUCAAUGACGAUACAGAGGUUCCGAUCCUUGGUCUGACCAAUCUUAAAUUUUGGGUAUACCACUCUCAAGG
Molecule: long non-coding RNA, 27235 nt
Filed under: Triticum aestivum (bread wheat)
Lineage: Eukaryota; Viridiplantae; Streptophyta; Magnoliopsida; Poales; Poaceae
Description: long non-coding RNA (TAES_LNC023095)
Source: RNAcentral